Fundulus heteroclitus (mummichog) is the source of this 327-nucleotide non-coding RNA. NCBI's taxonomy places the organism in Eukaryota, Metazoa, Chordata, Actinopteri, Cyprinodontiformes, Fundulidae. The record is from the annotation of a RefSeq genome assembly.
AUGACUUUCCCCAUCCUCCAUUAUAGGUGUGAACAGCUGACACAGCCAGCCUCUGUGACUGUGCAGCCAGGUCAACGUCUGACCAUCAGCUGUCAGGUUUCUUAUUCUCUGGGCAGCUACUACACAGCUUGGAUCAGACAGGCUGCAGGGAAAGGACUGGAGUGGAUUGGGAUGAAAUAUGACAGCGGCAGCAUCUACUACUCUGACUCAGUGAAAAACCGGUUCACCAUCUCCAGAGAGAACAGCAGAAAUCAGGUGUAUCUGCAGAUGAACAGCCUGACAGCUGAGGAUUCUGCUGUUUAUUAUUGUGCUCGACAGCCACAGUGA